Long non-coding RNA from Nycticebus coucang (slow loris), 355 nucleotides. RefSeq lists it as uncharacterized. NCBI's taxonomy places the organism in Eukaryota, Metazoa, Chordata, Mammalia, Primates, Lorisidae. The transcript is spliced from 2 exons. The record is from RefSeq and is a predicted model, not a curated record.
GUGAAUAUGAAGGGGAAAUUAAUUUUAACAAUGUGUUUUAUUAACCCAAUAUUUGUUACCAUGUCAACAAUAUAAAAUUAUUGUUAAAAUAGUUUACAUUCUUUUCUUUUGCUUUAAGACUUUGAAAUCCAAUGUGUAUUUCUCACUCCAGUGGCCACAUUUCAAGUGCUCAAGGCUCACUUGCAGCUCACUGCAGGUGAGGACACAGUGUCUGUCCCCUUGGAGGACGCAGCAAUAAGGCAUCAUCUUGGAAGCAGAGAAUAGCCCUCACCAGACACUGAACUUUCCUGUGCCUUGAUCUUAACUUCCCUGCAGCCAGGACUGUAAGAAAUAAAUGUCUAUUGUUUAUAAAUUA